Molecule: ribosomal RNA, 506 nt
Filed under: Lentilactobacillus buchneri
Lineage: Bacteria; Bacillati; Bacillota; Bacilli; Lactobacillales; Lactobacillaceae
Description: bacterial SSU rRNA
Rfam family: Bacterial small subunit ribosomal RNA
Source: RNAcentral
AUGAUACGUAGCCGACCUGAGAGGGUAAUCGGCCACAUUGGGACUGAGACACGGCCCAAACUCCUACGGGAGGCAGCAGUAGGGAAUCUUCCACAAUGGACGAAAGUCUGAUGGAGCAACGCCGCGUGAGUGAUGAAGGGUUUCGGCUCGUAAAACUCUGUUGUUGGAGAAGAACAGGUGUCAGAGUAACUGUUGACAUCUUGACGGUAUCCAACCAGAAAGCCACGGCUAACUACGUGCCAGCAGCCGCGGUAAUACGUAGGUGGCAAGCGUUGUCCGGAUUUAUUGGGCGUAAAGCGAGCGCAGGCGGUUUUUUAGGUCUGAUGUGAAAGCUUCGGCUUAACCGGAGAAGUGCAUCGGAAACCGGGAGACUUGAGUGCAGAAGAGGACAGUGGAACUCCAUGUGUAGCGGUGAAAUGCGUAGAUAUAUGGAAGAACACCAGUGGCGAAGGCGGCUGUCUGGUCUGUAACUGACGCUGAGGCUCGAAAGCAUGGGUAGCGAACAG